This is a long non-coding RNA of Neltuma alba, 492 nucleotides long. RefSeq lists it as uncharacterized. The transcript has 2 exons. The record is from RefSeq and is a predicted model, not a curated record. NCBI's taxonomy places the organism in Eukaryota, Viridiplantae, Streptophyta, Magnoliopsida, Fabales, Fabaceae.
AUGAGGUAAUUAAGUAGGAAAGAAAAGUCAAUCAUGGUAACAUGAUAGUAAUAAAGGCGACUCAUUUCCCAACUCCUCCCUGCCUAAACAAUGAUCGAAAAAACCAAGAUGAUUAUUUUAUUCAUGUGAUUUUUUUAAAAUAUAAAUUUGGGUUCCUUGUCCAUAUUUUAUAAAUAAUGUUUCAUUUUUCUGCUGUCCAGCUUCAUGUUUUACUAUUUGCAAAAUGUGACGCUUGCAUAGAUGGAUUUAAGGGCUUAUGAAAAGACCAUGAUCCCGGAUACUGCUGCUCUUUAUUCUUCACCACAAGUGCUGUAAGUCUCACAUUACUGAUUAUCUCUGGGUUCAAGCAUAGAUAAGUGAAGACAUAGUCUACUCUGCUCCAAACAUCAUUUGUUUAUUCUACUUAGUUAUUUUGAAGACUAGUUUGUAUUCUACCCUAUCACAUCUUAGUUUUAAACCUCAUUUUAUUUCAAUUGGAACCAUUUUGGAUAA